Molecule: ribosomal RNA, 1055 nt
Filed under: uncultured Burkholderia sp.
Lineage: Bacteria; Pseudomonadati; Pseudomonadota; Betaproteobacteria; Burkholderiales; Burkholderiaceae
Description: bacterial SSU rRNA
Rfam family: Bacterial small subunit ribosomal RNA
Source: RNAcentral
UCCUACGGGAGGCAGCAGUAGGGAAUCUUCCGCAAUGGACGAAAGUCUGACGGAGCAAUGCCGCGUGAGUGAUGAAGGUUUUCGGAUCGUAAAGCUCUGUUGCCAGGGAAGAACGCUUGGGAGAGUAACUGCUCUCAAGGUGACGGUACCUGAGAAGAAAGCCCCGGCUAACUACGUGCCAGCAGCCGCGGUAAUACGUAGGGGGCAAGCGUUGUCCGGAAUUAUUGGGCGUAAAGCGUGCGCAGGCGGUUUGCUAAGACCGAUGUGAAAUCCCCGGGCUCAACCUGGGAACUGCAUUGGUGACUGGCAGGCUAGAGCAUGGCAGAGGGGGGUAGAAUUCCACGUGUAGCAGUGAAAUGCGUAGAGAUGUGGAGGAAUACCGAUGGCGAAGGCAGCCCCCUGGGCCAAUACUGACGCUCAUGCACGAAAGCGUGGGGAGCAAACAGGAUUAGAUACCCUGGUAGUCCACGCCCUAAACGAUGUCAACUAGUUGUUGGGGAUUCAUUUCCUUAGUAACGUAGCUAACGCGUGAAGUUGACCGCCUGGGGAGUACGGUCGCAAGAUUAAAACUCAAAGGAAUUGACGGGGACCCGCACAAGCGGUGGACGAUGUGGAUUAAUUCGAUGCAACGCGAAAAACCUUACCUACCCUUGACAUGGUCGGAAUCCCGCUGAGAGGUGGGAGUGCUCGAAAGAGAACCGGCGCACAGGUGCUGCAUGGCUGUCGUCAGCUCGUGUCGUGAGAUGUUGGGUUAAGUCCCGCAACGAGCGCAACCCUUGUCCUUAGUUGCUACGCAAGAGCACUCUAAGGAGACUGCCGGUGACAAACCGGAGGAAGGUGGGGAUGACGUCAAGUCCUCAUGGCCCUUAUGGGUAGGGCUUCACACGUCAUACAAUGGUCGGAACAGAGGGUUGCCAACCCGCGAGGGGGAGCUAAUCCCAGAAAACCGAUCGUAGUCCGGAUUGCACUCUGCAACUCGAGUGCAUGAAGCUGGAAUCGCUAGUAAUCGCGGAUCAGCAUGCCGCACUUUUAGUUCCCGGGCCUUGUACACACCG